Molecule: ribosomal RNA, 458 nt
Filed under: uncultured Methylophilaceae bacterium
Lineage: Bacteria; Pseudomonadati; Pseudomonadota; Betaproteobacteria; Nitrosomonadales; Methylophilaceae
Description: bacterial SSU rRNA
Rfam family: Bacterial small subunit ribosomal RNA
Source: RNAcentral
GCACAAGCGGUGGAUUAUGUGGAUAAUUCGAUGCAACGCGAAAACCUUACCUACCCUUGACAUGCUAGGAACUUGCCAGAGAUGGCUUGGUGCCCGAAAGGGAACCUAGACACAGGUGCUGCAUGGCUGUCGUCAGCUCGUGUCGUGAGAUGUUGGGUUAAGUCCCGCAACGAGCGCAACCCUUGUCAUUAAUUGCCAUCAUUCAGUUGGGCACUUUAAUGAGACUGCCGGUGACAAACCGGAGGAAGGUGGGGAUGACGUCAAGUCCUCAUGGCCCUUAUGGGUAGGGCUUCACACGUAAUACAAUGGUCGGUACAGAGGGUUGCCAACCCGCGAGGGGGAGCCAAUCCCAGAAAACCGAUCGUAGUCCGGAUUGCAGUCUGCAACUCGACUGCAUGAAGUCGGAAUCGCUAGUAAUCGCGGAUCAGCAUGUCGCGGUGAAUACGUUCCCGGGCCUU